AAUCUGGCGUGCUCAGUGCGUCCGAGUUGUAAUCUAUAGAGUCGUUUUCCGUGCCGGACUGUGUCCAAGUCCCUUGGAACAGGGUAUCAAAGAGGGUGAUAAUCCCGUACUUGACACAAUGACCGGUGCUCUGUGAUACGUCUUCUACGAGUCGAGUUGUUUGGGAAUGCAGCUCAAAAUGGGUGGUGAGUUCCAUCUAAAGCUAAAUAUUGGCGAGAGACCGAUAGCGAACAAGUACCGUGAGGGAAAGAUGAAAAGCACUUUGGAAAGAGAGUUAAACAGUACGUGAAAUUGUUAAAAGGGAAACGAUUGAAGUCAGUCGUGACUGAGAGGCUCAGCCGGUUCUGCCGGUGUAUUCCCCUCAGUCGGGUCAACAUCAGUUUUGUUCGGUGGAUAAGGGCAGUUGGAAGGUGGCACCCUCGGGUGUGUUAUAGCCAGCUGUCGCAUACAUCGGAUGAGACUGAGGAAUGCAGCUCGCCUUUAUGGCCGGGGUUCGCCCACGUUCGAGCUUAGGAUGUUGACAUAAUGGCUUUAAACGACCCGUCU
RNAcentral lists this ribosomal RNA (546 nucleotides) under Papiliotrema flavescens. Its description in RNAcentral is "partial large subunit ribosomal RNA". It matches the Rfam family "Eukaryotic large subunit ribosomal RNA", at positions 119 to 654 of the family's 3401-position model. Lineage: Eukaryota; Fungi; Basidiomycota; Tremellomycetes; Tremellales; Rhynchogastremaceae. The record is from RNAcentral.